GAUGAAGAACGUAGCGAAAUGCGAUAAUUAAUGUGAAUUGCAGAAUUCCGUGAAUCAUCGAAUCUUUGAACGCACAUUGCGCCCCCUGGUAUUCCGGGGGGCAUGCCUGUUCGAGCGUCAUUACAACCCUCAAGCUCUGCUUGGUAUUGGGCCCCGCCAGUUCUGGCGGGCCCUAAAGUCAGUGGCGGUGCCUUCCGGCUCCGAGCGUAGUAAUUCUUCUCGCUCUGGAGACCCGGUUGUGUGCUUGCCAACAACCCCCAAUUUUUUAAGGUUGACCUCGGAUCAGGUAGGGAUACCCGCUGAACUUAAGCAUAUCAAUAAGCGGAGGA
Molecule: unclassified non-coding RNA, 329 nt
Filed under: soil metagenome
Description: partial contains 5.8S ribosomal RNA, internal transcribed spacer 2, and large subunit ribosomal RNA
Rfam family: 5.8S ribosomal RNA (bases 1-120)
Source: RNAcentral